RNAcentral lists this ribosomal RNA (514 nucleotides) under uncultured Alphaproteobacteria bacterium. RNAcentral's name for it is "bacterial SSU rRNA". It matches the Rfam family "Bacterial small subunit ribosomal RNA", at positions 97 to 645 of the family's 1533-position model. Lineage: Bacteria; Pseudomonadati; Pseudomonadota; Alphaproteobacteria. The record is from RNAcentral.
GGCGCACGGGUGAGUAACGCGUGGGAACCUACCCAGGGGUGGGGGAUAACCGCUGGAAACGGCGGCUAAUACCGCAUACGCCUUUUUGAGGGAAAGAUUUAUCGCCCUUGGAUGGGCCCGCGUUGGAUUAGGUAGUUGGUGGGGUAAAGGCCUACCAAGCCUACGAUCUAUAGCUGGUCUGAGAGGAUGAUCAGCCACACUGGGACUGAGACACGGCCCAGACUCCUACGGGAGGCAGCAGUGGGGAAUCUUGGACAAUGGGGGCAACCCUGAUCCAGCCAUGCCGCGUGAGUGAAGAAGGCCUUAGGGUUGUAAAGCUCUUUCAACGGUGAAGAUGAUGACUGUAGCCGUAGAAGAAGCCCCGGCUAACUCCGUGCCAGCAGCCGCGGUAAUACGGAGGGGGCAAGCGUUGUUCGGAAUUACUGGGCGUAAAGGGCGUGUAGGCGGCCAAGCAAGUCAGAGGUGAAAGCCCUGGGCUCAACCUGGGAACUGCCUUUGAAACUGUUUGGCUUGA